UCUGGUUGAUCCUGCCUGAACUGAUGUGUUCAUUUCAAAGAUUAAGCCAUGCAUGUAUAAGUAUAAUCUGCCAGUCAGAGAAACUGCGUACGGCUCAUUACACCAGCCUUAAUUUACUUGACCUUGACACCCUACUUGGAUAACUGUGGUAAUUCUAGAGCUAAUACAUGCACCAAAGCUCCAAUCUCCCCAGAGCGGAGCGCAUUUGUUCGCCACAAAACCAAGCGCCUCAGGGCGUUCAGUGUUGACUCAGAACAACUAAGCUGAUCGCACGGUCUUGCACCGGCGACGUGUCUUUCAAGUGUCUGCCUUAUCAACUUUCGAUGGUAGUGUAUCUGACUACCAUGGUGAUGACGGGUAACGGAGGAUAAGGGUUCGACUCCGGAGAAGGGGCCUGAGAAAUGGCCACUACGUCUAAGGAUGGCAGCAGGCGCGCAAAUUACCCACUCUCGACGCGAGGAGGUAGUGACGAGAAAUAACGAGACCGUUCUCAUCUGAGGCCGGUCAUCGGAAUGGGUACAAUUUAAACCCUUUAACGAGUAUCUAUGAGAGGGCAAGUCUGGUGCCAGCAGCCGCGGUAAUUCCAGCUCUCAAAAUGCAUAGAAUUAUUGCUGCGGUUAAAAAGCUCGUAGUUGGAUCUGUGCUGAGCGACCGGUCUGCCCACUGGGCACGCACUGGCUCGCCCGGCUUUCCCUGCCGGUCUCUCUCUGACGUUGGUUUUAACCGGCUGGCGUCAGUGGGCUGGCGAGUUUACUUUGAACAAAUCAGAGUGCUUCAAACAGGCGUCUCGCCUGAAUGUUCGUGCAUGGAAUAAUAGAAGAGGAUCACGGUCCGAUUUUAUUGGUUUUGCUGACCGAGAUAAUGGUUAACAGAGACAAACGGGGCCAUUCGUAUUGCUACGUGAGAGGUGAAAUUCUUGGACCGUAGCAAGACGGACUACAGCGAAAGCAUUUGGCAAGAAUGUCUUCAUUAAUCAAGAACGAAAGUCAGAGGUUCGAAGGCGAUCAGAUACCGCCCUAGUUCUGACCGUAAACGAUGCCAACUAGCGAUCCGCCGGCGGAUUCAUUCGCCCUGGUGGGGAGCUUCCCGGAAACGAAAGUCUUCCGGUUCCGGGGGAAGUAUGGUUGCAAAGCUGAAACUUAAAGGAAUUGACGGAAGGGCACCACCAGGAGUGGAGCCUGCGGCUUAAUUUGACUCAACACGGGGAAACUCACCCGGCCCGGACACCGUAAGGAUUGACAGAUUGAUAGCUUUUUCAUGAUUCGGUGGAUGGUGGUGCAUGGCCGUUCUUAGUUCGUGGAGCGAUUUGUCUGGUUUAUUCCGAUAACGAGCGAGACUCUGGCCUACUAAAUAGUUGGCACAUUGCCACUGUGUGCACAACUUCUUAGAGGGAUUUUCGGUGUUCAGCCGCACGAAAUUGAGCAAUAACAGGUCUGUGAUGCCCUUAGAUGUCCGGGGCUGCACGCGCGCUACACUGGCAAAAUCAGCGUGCUUGUCCUCCCCCGAAAGGGGUUGGUAAACCGAUGAAAAUUUGCCGUGAUUGGGAUCGGACAUUGCAAUUAUUGUCCGUGAACGAGGAAUCCCUUGUAAGGGCGAGUCAUCAACUCGUCCUGAAUACGUCCCUGCCCUUUGUACACACCGCCCGUCGCUGCCCGGGACUGAGCCAUUUCGAGAAAACCGGGGAUUGUUGGCCUGACGGCUCUCGGGUCGUCUAGCCGAUGAGAACCGGCUUAAUCGCACUGGUUUGAACCGGGCAAAAGUCGUAACAAGGUAGCUGUAGGUGAACCUGCUGCUG
RNAcentral lists this ribosomal RNA (1795 nucleotides) under Rotylenchulus reniformis. RNAcentral describes it as "SSU rRNA". It matches the Rfam family "Eukaryotic small subunit ribosomal RNA". Lineage: Eukaryota; Metazoa; Nematoda; Chromadorea; Rhabditida; Hoplolaimidae. The record is from RNAcentral.